AACGCACAUUGCGCCCCUUGGUAUUCCGAGGGGCAUGCCUAUUCGAGCGUCAUUAUCACCCCUCAAGCCUAGCUUGGUGUUGAGGCCUGCUGUCAAGGCAGCCUCUAAAAUCAGUGGCAGUGCUGUCAGGCUCUAAGCGUAGUAAAUUCAUCGCUAUAGACACCUGGUGGACACUCGCCAGAACCCCCCCAUUUUUUUAAUGAUUGACCUCGGAUUAGGUAGGGAUACCCGCUGAACUUAA
RNAcentral lists this unclassified non-coding RNA (241 nucleotides) under uncultured Ascomycota. RNAcentral describes it as "sequence contains ITS2". The record is from RNAcentral. Lineage: Eukaryota; Fungi; Ascomycota.